Diachasmimorpha longicaudata is the source of this 1551-nucleotide RNA transcript. The record is from RefSeq and is a predicted model, not a curated record. Lineage: Eukaryota; Metazoa; Arthropoda; Insecta; Hymenoptera; Braconidae.
CUGAUACUGCGCCUGUAUCGUCGUACAUGGUGAAUGACUCCCAUGAAUCCCUGGAAAUUUCGUUGCCACCCUUGUCCAUCUUAUUUGGUGUCCGUACUUCAAAUGCCACAUUCAAUUGUAGAUGCACGUUUCAACUGCAGAGAACUCCGCCAAGUUUAGCCGUCAAGAAGGUUCCGUAAAUCAUUUUGGUAGGAACCCGAGGAAAUUCGUCUUGAAAAUGAAAGAUAAUGCGGUAUCGCCACAGGGGAUAUGAAAUCACAAUGAGAGUACCGAAAGAGGCGGAGUCGGGCGCCCAUUAGAGGGAAAUUCCUAAGUUCCAUUGAAGAAGACUGGUUGGAAAAGAUAAAGCAAUAAACGAAUAAAAAAAUGAAAAUCUCGAAGAAAAGACCAGACGGGUAAUACGGAAAAGAUGAACUGCGUGAUGGUCGCAGGAAAAUCGAAAAUAAUCAGCAAAUUCCAAAAAUGUAUUCCAAACGACGACCAUAUAUAAAUGUUGCAUUAUCUGAAUAUUAUUUAUUAUAAUCAACAACUCCAGUGGAGAGCCCUGAGUUCCCUGGAGAAAAAAAUAUGUAGUAAAAAAACACAGCUGUGGGGAAAUUUUCUUAUGAGGUAUCUCACGAAUGUAUUGAACUUCUUGACAAUCUAAAUGGUGUGGAAAUACCUGAUGGUUAAUUAAUCUUAUCUCUAAAAAUGUAAAGUAAUCUCCUUCGACCAUUAUAUUGUAUUUAAAUUUCCACUAGAGUGUGGGCAACAUGGCAACCUGUCUAGAGACCCUAGUUUGGGUGGCGCUAGUAAGAUAAAUUCAAAAAUGCUCAGAUGUUUUGAUUUUUAAGGUUAUCAAGAAGUUUUCCAAUCAAAUUCCCGGUCUUUAACUGUAAUCUGGACUUGUUUUCUCAAUUUGUGUCCGAAAGAGCUUUCAGAUUAUUGAAAUAUUUACUUGUAAAUAUUUCCUCGGCACUUCGUAUUUACAGAAUUUCAAUAACAAUAAAAAACAUUGACAAGUAAUAAAACUCUUCAAUAACAAUGGCAUCAGGACUGGAAAGCUAUGUCAAUCAUACUGUGUCAAUUAUCACAUCAGACGGACGAAACUUCAUCGGAACUCUCAAAGGGUUUGAUCAGACGAUUAAUCUAAUUCUCGACGAAUCUCACGAACGAGUCUAUAGUUUAACACAAGGAGUUGAACAAGUUGUUUUGGGUUUGCACAUCAUUAGAGGAGAUAAUGUAGCAAUUGUUGGAGAAUUGGACGAGGAAAUCGAUUCGCGUCUGGACCUUGGAUCAAUCAGAGCUGAACCCCUCACAUCAGUGGCCCACUGAUGAGACCAGACAAAUUGUAAUCAUACAUUCAGUCAUGUUUUAAUUGUGAUUAGAAGUGAAUCACAAAAAUGCUCGCCAACUAUGAUAAGACAAUGCUUGACCAUCCCCUAAUCAAUACCUAUAUUAUGCAUUAUUGUCCUCCAUAAUUCAACCGGUAUAUUCAAGGGGGAAUGACUAAUGUUUUCGAUCCCACUGCCGAAGGAAUAUUAAUGACAAGAGGAUGAAAAAAAUGAAUAA